RNAcentral lists this ribosomal RNA (456 nucleotides) under uncultured bacterium. RNAcentral's name for it is "bacterial SSU rRNA". It matches the Rfam family "Bacterial small subunit ribosomal RNA", at positions 28 to 497 of the family's 1533-position model. The record is from RNAcentral.
GACGAACGCUGGCGGCGUGCUUAACACAUGCAAGUCGAACGGUGAACCAGAGCUUGCUCUGGGGAUCAGUGGCGAACGGGUGAGUAACACGUGGGCAACCUGCCCCAGACUCUGGGAUAACCUCGGGAAACCGAUGCUAAUACCGGAUACGACCACUUCGGACAUCCGACGGUGGUGGAAAGUUUUUCGGUCUGGGAUGGGCCCGCGGCCUAUCAGCUAGUUGGUGGGGUAAUGGCCUACCAAGGCGACGACGGGUAGCCGGCCUGAGAGGGCGACCGGCCACACUGGAACUGAGACACGGUCCAGACUCCUACGGGAGGCAGCAGUGGGGAAUAUUGCACAAUGGGCGAAAGCCUGAUGCAGCGACGCCGCGUGAGGGACGACGGCCUCGGUUGUAACGUACUUUCUAGCAGGACGAAGACGAAGUAGACUGUACCUGCAGAAGAAGACACCGGC